UGCUUCAAGACAAUUCAGAUGCCAGUGGUUUCAAAAUAAUCCUAAGGACUACUUCAUAACUUCCCUGAGCCUUACUGCACAGGACCCUACUGAAAUCUGACAUCAAUGCAACAGAAGUUGACUGCUGUGUUACUUUCAUUCCAUCUAUGUGUUUGGCAGCCUUUGGGUAGCUGCUUGACAGCAUUUACACAAUUUUGGGAAAACACAGUCUCUAACGCUGCCCUGCCAGAAGAUCCAUUCAGCUGACUGUGUACCUGGCCAACUGAUCCUGAAGAAGGCUGACCCAGCAUGCAAGGUUAGGAAAGAGGGGACCCACACACACUACAGUCAAGAGGUUGGAGCUUCUCAACAAACAGUGGACUUGUACUAAUGAUUUUUCCUCCUCCCACAGCCCUAUUUGUAUUCCAAGCACUGCCCUUCACCUAGGUCUGCAGUAACACUCCAGCAGCUCCAGGGGCAAGGAGGUGAGAUAGAAUAAAAUGACUGAGUUCCUUUAUUAACAUGGUGGUUCUUUGCAUGGGAGGUAAAGGCAAGUUGAUAGGAUAGCUAGGAGUGGGUUCUUUCCUCCAUCCUCUUCCCUGAGGCUGACAGUUCUAGGAUAUCAGUGGGUGACUGGUUUUAGGCUGCUCAGCAGCCCUCUUUUCUGUCUGAGACAAGUAGGGUGACCAGACAUCCCGAUAAAAUCGGGACCGUCCCGAUAUUUGGGUGUUUGUCCUGAUAUUUGGCUCCGCCGGCAGCACUCAGCUUUUUUUUUUUUCCCUCCACUGGCGGAAUCCCCCCACCCCCUAUGUGUCACGAUAUUUUCUUGCUCUCAUCUGGUCACCCUAGAGAUAAGGCAUUAGAAGCAUUCAUUGAAACAGAUAAUUGUGGUAACUUCUUAUUAGUGCUCAUUCUUAUUCUAUUAUUGAUUAUUAACAAAUAGCAAAAUGUAGUUGUCUGUGCAAAAAAACAAACACACAAAAAACUCUUCAGUGCUUCUUAAGAGCCCAGAGGAUGACACUGCAUCAUUGAGAGAACUUUUCCGCAAUUCAUGCACCAACUUUAUUAUUAUUGUUAUUAUUUAUUUGUAUUAUGGUAGCCCUUAAAGGACAGGGUCCCAUUGUGCUAGACACUAUACAAACAUAUAACAAAGAGAUUGAUUAUAAACUCUUCGGGUCAGGGACUAGGUACAAGACUAUAGACAGAACAGGCAGACAGGACAGACAGACAGAAGGAGCACAAAGAAACAAUGAGAUGAUACUAGUCAGCUGCCUAACUAUUCUCAGACAUUAGAAUCAGCUUCAAAAUGAGACCUUCAAUUAACAGUUGCAGAUGACAUCUGGGGGACCUGUCUAGUGCUUUAACUUUCCAAAAUGUGAACUGUGUUUAUAUAAUGCUACUGAUCCUGAAAGAUCCUCCAAUCUCCUCAACAGUGACAAGCAUAUAAUAACCAGAGACAACAGCUGUCAAACCUUCUCAACCCCUCCCGCUCCCCCCCGCAAGUAAUGUGCAUUGUGCAACCAUCUCCAUGCCAGACAGUCAUUUUGUGUUUUCUGCUUGAUGUAGAAAGUGUUGACAUAGACCAUUCCAAAAGGUUCCCUUCCAACCCCAUGAAAUAAUAAUGUAUUGGAUG
Long non-coding RNA from Malaclemys terrapin pileata, 1612 nucleotides. RefSeq lists it as uncharacterized. Lineage: Eukaryota; Metazoa; Chordata; Testudines; Emydidae. The transcript has 3 exons. The record is from RefSeq and is a predicted model, not a curated record.